AUUCCAGCUCCAAUAGCGUAUACUAAAGUUGUUGCAGUUAAAAAGCUCGUAGUUGAAUUUCUGGUCGUGGCGACCGGUCCGCCCCUCACGGGGUGUGCACCUGGUCUCUGCGUCCAUCCUCGGGGAGAGCGUAUCUGGCAUUCAGUUGUCGGGUGCGGGAUCCUCGUCAUUUACUGUGAGCAAAAUAGAGUGUUCAAAGCAGGCUUAGGCCGUUGAAUACAUUAGCAUGGAAUAAUAAGAUAGGACCUUGGUCUAUUUUGUUGGUUUGCAUUCCAAGGUAAUGAUUAAUAGGGAUAGUUGGGGGUAUUCGUAUUCAAUUGUCAGAGGUGAAAUUCUUGGAUUUAUGGAAGACGAACUACUGCGAAAGCAUUUACCAAGGAUGUUUUCAUUA
Molecule: ribosomal RNA, 391 nt
Filed under: Chrysophyceae sp.
Lineage: Eukaryota; Chrysophyceae
Description: partial small subunit ribosomal RNA
Rfam family: Eukaryotic small subunit ribosomal RNA
Source: RNAcentral